GGCUCGUUAGCUCAGUUGGUAGAGCAGCGGAUUGAAAAUCCGCGUGUCCGUGGUUCGAUUCCGCGACGAGCCACCA
RNAcentral lists this transfer RNA (76 nucleotides) under Deefgea chitinilytica. Its description in RNAcentral is "tRNA-Phe". It matches the Rfam family "tRNA". From Rfam's summary of the family: Transfer RNA (tRNA) molecules are approximately 80 nucleotides in length. Their secondary structure includes four short double-helical elements and three loops (D, anti-codon, and T loops). Further hydrogen bonds mediate the characteristic L-shaped molecular structure. tRNAs have two regions of fundamental functional importance: the anti-codon, which is responsible for specific mRNA codon recognition, and the 3' end, to which the tRNAs corresponding amino acid is attached (by aminoacyl-tRNA synthetases). tRNAs cope with the degeneracy of the genetic code in two manners: having more than one tRNA (with a specific anti-codon) for a particular amino acid; and 'wobble' base-pairing, i.e. permitting non-standard base-pairing at the 3rd anti-codon position. The record is from RNAcentral. RNAcentral also lists the same sequence under 1 other name. Lineage: Bacteria; Pseudomonadati; Pseudomonadota; Betaproteobacteria; Neisseriales; Chitinibacteraceae.